Molecule: ribosomal RNA, 465 nt
Filed under: Vreelandella stevensii
Lineage: Bacteria; Pseudomonadati; Pseudomonadota; Gammaproteobacteria; Oceanospirillales; Halomonadaceae
Description: partial 16S ribosomal RNA
Rfam family: Bacterial small subunit ribosomal RNA
Source: RNAcentral
CCUACGGGAGGCUGCAGUGGGGAAUAUUGGACAAUGGGGGGAACCCUGAUCCAGCCAUGCCGCGUGUGUGAAGAAGGCCCUCGGGUUGUAAAGCACUUUCAGUGAGGAAGAACGCCUGGUGGUUAAUACCCAUCAGGAAAGACAUCACUCACAGAAGAAGCACCGGCUAACUCCGUGCCAGCAGCCGCGGUAAUACGGAGGGUGCGAGCGUUAAUCGGAAUUACUGGGCGUAAAGCGCGCGUAGGUGGCUUGAUAAGCCGGUUGUGAAAGCCCCGGGCUCAACCUGGGAACGGCAUCCGGAACUGUCGAGCUAGAGUGCAGGAGAGGAAGGUAGAAUUCCCGGUGUAGCGGUGAAAUGCGUAGAGAUCGGGAGGAAUACCAGUGGCGAAGGCGGCCUUCUGGACUGACACUGACACUGAGGUGCGAAAGCGUGGGUAGCAAACAGGAUUAGAUACCCGUGUAGUC